This 30-nucleotide non-coding RNA is filed under the name Rattus norvegicus (Norway rat). The record is from RNAcentral. Lineage: Eukaryota; Metazoa; Chordata; Mammalia; Rodentia; Muridae.
UAACAAUGGGAUAUAAAUGUACGCAAAGGU